GGCUCCGCCAUGACCCGCAGACCACCAACCUCCUGUAUCUGGAGCUGGGAGACAAGCCCGCGCCCAACACCUUCUAUGUAGGCAUCUACAUCCUCAUCGCUGUGGGCGCUGUCAUGAUGUUCGUCGGCUUCCUGGGCUGCUACGGGGCCAUCCAGGAAUCCCAGUGCCUGCUGGGGACGUUCUUCACCUGCCUGGUCAUCCUGUUUGCCUGUGAGGUGGCCGCCGGCAUCUGGGGCUUUGUCAACAAGGACCAGAUCGCCAAGGACGUGAAGCAGUUCUAUGACCAGGCCCUACAGCAGGCCGUGGUGGAUGAUGACGCCAACAACGCCAAGGCCGUGGUGAAGACCUUCCACGAGACGGUGCGGCCCCGGGGGGCGAGGGCGGGGAGCAGGGCCCCGGGAACCCGGCGGGGUGUGUCUCGUCCU
Molecule: small RNA, 425 nt
Filed under: Pan troglodytes (chimpanzee)
Lineage: Eukaryota; Metazoa; Chordata; Mammalia; Primates; Hominidae
Description: retained intron
Source: RNAcentral